ACCUGGCUGGCUCAGUUGGUUAAGCAUCUGACUUUGGCUCAGGUCAUGAUCUCACAGUUCGUGGGUUUGAGCCCCAUGUUGGGCU
This 85-nucleotide transfer RNA is filed under the name Felis catus (domestic cat). It matches the Rfam family "tRNA". From Rfam's summary of the family: Transfer RNA (tRNA) molecules are approximately 80 nucleotides in length. Their secondary structure includes four short double-helical elements and three loops (D, anti-codon, and T loops). Lineage: Eukaryota; Metazoa; Chordata; Mammalia; Carnivora; Felidae. The record is from Rfam by way of RNAcentral.